Molecule: unclassified non-coding RNA, 211 nt
Filed under: Hevea brasiliensis (rubber tree)
Lineage: Eukaryota; Viridiplantae; Streptophyta; Magnoliopsida; Malpighiales; Euphorbiaceae
Source: RNAcentral
GUUGCGUUAGGUAGUAUCAGAGCAAGGAUUUCACCCUUAUUACGAUGGCCAAAUACUGGUGGUAUAAUGGCAAUCAACCUCAUGACGAUGAUCAAGGAUUACACGCUAUUUGUUGAGCAAUCAAAGAGCAGAUGAAUACAAUAAAACAAUUAAGAAUGGAUAUAGACUAUCAAUUUCAAAAGAUUCACCAUUUAUUGAGAGUUCGUGGUGU